Molecule: ribosomal RNA, 742 nt
Filed under: uncultured bacterium
Lineage: Bacteria
Description: bacterial SSU rRNA
Rfam family: Bacterial small subunit ribosomal RNA
Source: RNAcentral
AGAGUUUGAUCAUGGCUCAGACUGAACGCUGGCGGCAUGGCUAAAGCAUGCAAGUCGAACGAGCCCGCAAGGGCAAGUGGCGGACGGGUUAGUAAUACGAUCGAACGUACCCCGAAGUGGGGGAUAGCGGCGGGAAACUGCCGGUAAUACCCCAUGUGCUCUUCGGAGGAAAGAUUUAUCGCUUUGGGAUCGGCGAUCGUCCUAUCAGCUAGUUGGCGGGGUAAAGGCCCACCAAGGCGAAGACGGGUAGCAGGUGUGAGAGCACGACCUGCAACAUCGGAACUGAGAUACUGUCCGGACUCCUACGGGAGGCUGCAGCAACGAAUCUUCCGCAAUGGGCGCAAGCCUGACGGAGCAAUGCCGCGUGUGGGAUGAAGUGCCUCCGGCAUGUAAACCACUGUCAGAAGAUAGAAACACUGAUCAUCUUCAAAGGAAGUGGCGACUAACUCUGUGCCAGCAGUCGCGGUAAUACAGAGGCCACGAGCGUUAGUCGGAAUUACUGGGCUUAAAGGGUGCGUAGGCGGUUAUUCAAGCGUCCUGUGAAAGCCUCCCGCUCAACGGGAGAACAGCAGGGCGAACUGGGUGACUCGAGGUUGGUAGGGGCUCACAGAACAGUCGGUGGACCGGUGAAAUGGGUAGAGAUCGACUGGAAUGCCGAUGGCGAAGGCGGUGAGCUGGGCCAAAUCUGACGCUGAGGCACGAAAGCGUGGGGAGCAAACAGGAUUAGAUACCCCGGUAGUCC